UGCCCAUAUGCUCAUCCGGGCGAGAAGGCCCGCCGCCGCGACCCGAGGAAGUACCACUACUCGGGUUCGGCCUGCCCCGACUUCCGCAAGGGCAGCUGCGCCAAAGGCGACUCCUGCGAGUUUGCUCAUGGUGUUUUUGAGUGCUGGCUGCACCCGGCGCGUUACCGGACCCAGCCAUGCAAGGACGGGCUGGCCUGUCACCGCCGCGUCUGCUUCUUCGCCCACACGCCGGAACAGCUCCGGGUGCUGCCAGGUCACAGCCCCAGGGCUCAUGGACCGGGUUUUUUCGAUUCGGCCACGUCGCCUCCGAUUUCUCCGCCGUCGGACUCGCCGCCAAUGUCGCCGAACAGCCCGCAACUCCGCCUCAGCACUGUGAAUG
Molecule: long non-coding RNA, 379 nt
Filed under: Fragaria vesca (wild strawberry)
Lineage: Eukaryota; Viridiplantae; Streptophyta; Magnoliopsida; Rosales; Rosaceae
Description: long non-coding RNA (FVES_LNC000821)
Source: RNAcentral